UGUGAAGCCCAGAACAGAAGAGGACGCCAUAACUCCACCUUACAUCUGAUUGUUGUAGCAGGAGCAUGGAAAUCUACAGCCGCUGGAACAACCACUGCUGUUGUCCUGGCUCUUAUCCUCCUCUCUCUUUUCAUAUUGUUUAGAAAAAAGUGGGUCUCCAAGCAAUCACUGAAGCCUGAAGAGAGACCAGAUAACAGGGAUCAGACACAGCUGGAUGACAGGCAGGAUGAGCUUCACUAUGCCAGUUUCCAGUUCUCCAAGAACCAUACAGAUCCUCUCUACUCCAACAUCGGACUAACUCAGACCCUCAGACACGAGGAGGACGAAGACGAGGGUGUUGAGUACACUUCCGUCAAAUUUACCAGUUGCAGUACUGCUUUGAGAGGUCAGACGUCAGCUGGGGAGGAUUCAGAUGCAUUGUACAGCACAAUCAACAAAACCUGUUCAGCAUACCAGCCUGGUAUUAAUAUCAAGUAGUUUGUUUAUUUAAGCAGGUAUUUAAUAUAUAUCUUAAGACAGAUCUGUCAUGAGAGAAUGCAACAUUGAGACAACUGUACAUUUUAAGCCCAAUUUACAAACUUAAACAUUUAGAAUGAUUUAUGUUAUAAUUAUUUAUUAUCAAACACAGGUUGGAAUUGCACAUGUAUUGCAUAUUUCCUGAAGAGUAUUUAAAUUAGUGGUUGCCCUGUUCUUUGGAAGACUUGUUGUUUAAAUCCCAGCAGAUAGAUAACUUGCUACAAUUGAUUGUUAUGUGGAGGGAACUGGGCUCCUCGAGGGGCAUUUUUCACUUUUAACUUGAACUGUAAA
Long non-coding RNA from Morone saxatilis (striped sea-bass), 807 nucleotides. RefSeq lists it as uncharacterized. Lineage: Eukaryota; Metazoa; Chordata; Actinopteri; Moronidae. The transcript is spliced from 5 exons. The record is from RefSeq and is a predicted model, not a curated record.